RNAcentral lists this ribosomal RNA (409 nucleotides) under bacterium. RNAcentral describes it as "partial 16S ribosomal RNA". It matches the Rfam family "Bacterial small subunit ribosomal RNA", at positions 355 to 776 of the family's 1533-position model. The record is from RNAcentral.
UGGGGAAUAUUGCACAAUGGGGGAAACCCUGAUGCAGCAACGCCGCGUGCGGGAUGACGGCCUUCGGGUUGUAAACCGCUUUCAGCCAUGACGAAGCUUUUGUGACGGUAGUGGCAGAAGAAGCACCGGCUAACUACGUGCCAGCAGCCGCGGUGAUACGUAGGGUGCGAGCGUUGUCCGGAAUUAUUGGGCGUAAAGGGCUUGUAGGCGGUUUGUCGCGUCGAAAGUGUAAACUCAGUGCUUAACGCUGAGCCUGCUUUCGAUACGGGCUGACUAGAGGAAGGUAGGGGAGAAUGGAAUUCCCGGUGGAGCGGUGGAAUGCGCAGAUAUCGGGAGGAACACCAGUGGCGAAGGCGGUUCUCUGGACCUUUCCUGACGCUGAGAAGCGAAAGCGUGGGUAGCAAACAGG